GAUGAACGUUGGCGGCGUGCCUAACACAUGCAAGUCGAACGAGAAGCUCACUUCGGUGAGUGGAAAGUGGCGCACGGGUGCGUAACACGUAGCUCACCUGCCCCGAAGAGUGGGACAACCAUUGGAAACGAUGGCUAAUACCACAUAAGCUCACGAUCUGUAGAGGAUUGUGAGAAAAGCUGAGGCGCUUUGGGAUGGGGCUGCGGCCCAUCAGGUAGAUGGUGAGGUAAAAGCUCACCAUGCCGACGACGGGUAGGGGACCUGAGAGGGUGGCCCCCCACACUGGGACUGAGACACGGCCCAGACUCCUACGGGAGGCAGCAGUGAGGAAUCUUGCACAAUGGGCGAAAGCCUGAUGCAGCGACGCCGCGUGAGCGAAGAAGGGUUUCGGCUCGUAAAGCUCUUUUCUGUGUGACGAGAAAGGACGGUAGCACAGGAAUAAGUCUCGGCUAACUACG
RNAcentral lists this ribosomal RNA (458 nucleotides) under uncultured Anaerolineae bacterium. RNAcentral describes it as "bacterial SSU rRNA". It matches the Rfam family "Bacterial small subunit ribosomal RNA", at positions 28 to 505 of the family's 1533-position model. Lineage: Bacteria; Bacillati; Chloroflexota; Anaerolineae. The record is from RNAcentral.